RNAcentral lists this long non-coding RNA (1090 nucleotides) under Agrilus planipennis (emerald ash borer). Its description in RNAcentral is "uncharacterized LOC112904466". The record is from RNAcentral. Lineage: Eukaryota; Metazoa; Arthropoda; Insecta; Coleoptera; Buprestidae.
AUGUAAUUUAUUAUUUCAAUUAUUUUUUCUUAAAAGUGCUCUUCUUCGAUUUUACUACAAUACAGUUUGUCUAUUAAGAAAAAUGUGUAACUGAAUAUAUAAUAUAUAUAAUAUCCAAGUUACUUUUACUUUAGUAAAAUCAACCGAUCACGUUUUAACCAAGCAAAUAUUUCUGGACUUAAAUGAAGAUAAAAUGUUUACCUACAAUUAACUGGAAAAAAUAAAUGAAUGUCCUAAUAAUAAAGUAUUUGUAGGCCUAGAAGGUAUGUAUCUUCUAUUGAUCCAGACGUAUAAUUAUAGCGGUCUGAUUUUGAUGUUAUAUGCUUUAGAUGGUGAAGCGUUAGUCGAAAACACAUUAGUUACAUGGCUAAUCGUAAAACAUACGUGCUUCAUGAAGUAUACCUAACCUUGCCUAACCUACCAUACUCCCCAGAUCUAACGCAGUGAUUACCAUAUUUUCCCUCUUUUAAAAUAAUGGGACAGCAAGUAAUUCACGGCAGUGGUCAGUUGACUGUUUCGGAAAAUAGACAUAAUUGUGAUAAAAAAACAGUGAGUAAUUGAGGAGGAAGGCGAUUAUGUAGAAAAAUAACAUGGUACUCAAAAAAAAAAAUGAACAUGCUGUAUUUAAUUUCCUUCCCUGUUUUGUUGGUAAUGGGUUAUUUUUUUUUAAUGAAUAUUAUUAAAAUAUCUUUUCCCUUGGCCCUAUACUUUUUUUUUAUAAGAAUAAAUGAAUAGGUUUAUUAUGUAUUGGUUUUUACUCACAAAAGGUAUGCAAUUCAUUAAAUGUCAACGUUUAUAAUAACUGAUAGCUGAUACACUCAUUUGGCCAAUGAGUAUUUUUAUUUAUAAUUUCCUGAAUGUAAGCCUUCCGUUAGUAAGUACCUGCAGCUAUGUGUCACACUAAUGUUUUGAUUAGGUUGACUUUCAAGUAGAUGGUAAGUGCAAGUUACCUUUUUUGAACAAUUGUUAUUAUUGUUUUUAUUUGAGCGCAAUUGUUGAACGCCCAGUGAAGUUGUAGGCAACGGUAAGCCAUCAAUGUAAAUUAUACGAUUUAAUGUUACUCUGCAAUAAAGAGAUACCGUCUUAUGUC